This is a non-coding RNA of Podarcis lilfordi (Lilford's wall lizard), 172 nucleotides long. NCBI's taxonomy places the organism in Eukaryota, Metazoa, Chordata, Lepidosauria, Squamata, Lacertidae. The record is from the annotation of a GenBank genome assembly.
UUCCUGGUGUUUAAUCAGAAUCUCCUUUCUUGCAACUCGAAUCCAUUGGUUCGGAUCCUGCCCUCCGGAGCAGAAGAAAACAAACUUGCUCCAUCUUCCAUCUUCAGAUAUUUGAAGAUGGCUAUCAUAUCUCCUCUCAGUCUCCUCUUUUCUAGGCUAAACAUACCCAGGU